RNAcentral lists this ribosomal RNA (497 nucleotides) under uncultured bacterium. RNAcentral's name for it is "partial 16S ribosomal RNA". It matches the Rfam family "Bacterial small subunit ribosomal RNA", at positions 28 to 507 of the family's 1533-position model. The record is from RNAcentral.
GAUGAACGCUGGCGGCGUGCCUAAUACAUGCAAGUCGAGCGAACAGACGAGGAGCUUGCUCCUCUGACGUUAGCGGCGGACGGGUGAGUAACACGUGGAUAACCUACCUAUAAGACUGGGAUAACUUCGGGAAACCGGAGCUAAUACCGGAUAAUAUAUUGAACCGCAUGGUUCAAUAGUGAAAGACGGUUUUGCUGUCACUUAUAGAUGGAUCCGCGCCGCAUUAGCUAGCUGGUAAGGUAACGGCUUACCAAGGCGACGAUGCGUAGCCGACCUGAGAGGGUGAUCGGCCACACUGGAACUGAGACACGGUCCAGACUCCUACGGGAGGCAGCAGUAGGGAAUCUUCCGCAAUGGGCGAAAGCCUGACGGAGCAACGCCGCGUGAGUGAUGAAGGUCUUCGGACCGUAAAACUCUGUUAUUAGGGAAGAACAAAUGUGUAAGUAACUAUGCACGUCUUGACGGUACCUAAUCAGAAAGCCACGGCUAACUACGUG